CAGUAAACACAACACACACCCACGCCACUCUCUCAUCUCUCCCACGGCUUCUCUCUCUGUCUCUCUCUUCAAAUUUCUUCCCCAAAUCUCAAAUUAACCAAGGGAUCUUGGAGUAUUCUUCUCCUAGAGUCGAGUUCUAGCCGUUGAUCGCGUUGGAAAGCUCGGAGGAGGUGUUUUCGGGAGAGGUUUUGCCUGGAGAUUCUUGGGGUUUUAAUUUCAACCUUCGAGGUACUCGCCAUGGCACUUAGCUUGGAUUGCAUGGAGUGCACAUGGAGACGUCUCUUGGGAGCUUCGUUGGAAUUAUUAAGGAGUUGUUUAUCAACUAGUCUAAUUCACGUUGUGUACUUCACCUGCAAUUGAAUGUAGUAUCUUUUGGUUUGAGCAUAUGUAAAGCUAUGUAUAAACUCAUCUCUUUGAUUAUUGUGAAGCCCUUUUUAAUUGAAGACGUUUUGGAGACUUUACGUAAAAAAAAAAAAAAAUUUAGAGACAAGAAGAAGAGACUUUGAUUCUUUAUUUGGAUUGGCAUGUCAGUUAAGGGUAAAUAUAGUUUGAGAGGAAGACUUUUGUUAUGGAAAAUAUAUUAUUAUUUUAGCUGAAAAUCGAGGGCGUGACAACUUGGUAUCAGAGCAUAGGUUUAGAAUACCUCGGGACCGUGGGGAGACACUUAGUCUUAUGAGUCUAGCGGUUGCAUUGGGGCAUGAAUUUUGGGUGUACGUGAAUAGCUUACACCGAUCUACUUGGCAUCUUAAUUGCAUCUCUGUAGCGUCAUAUGGUGUUGUUGACCUUUAUUGGAGAAAAUUGGAGGUUUGACCUCAUAAGUGAAGUUGUGGUUGUUGAUUAGUUCUUUUACUUAACUUCUGUGGCGACCGAAAAAUUUUGUGUUUUGCAAAUGUGUGUAUGGAGAAAGCUGCAUAUUAAUGUAGUUGGGGUGAUGUGGUUAUGUCUUGUGGCUGUGGUGUAUUGAUCACUGUUCUUGGUGAUUCUGUGUGUGUAUAAUAUCUUACGGUAUUGUAUUUGGUGCCUGUUUUGUGCUAUCUUAAAUGGUAAGCUUGAACGUAUUGUGCAUCUCUUAUGUUUAUGUUAACUGAUAUAUAGAUUGUUAAGGGUGACCGUAUCUAGUAUAUGUGAAACUUAUUUCUUUUCUAAGAUUUUGAGGAUCUACUUCCGGAUAUUCAGUUUGAGGUGCGGCUGGCCACCACGACUUCGAGAUUGAAUAUCCAGAAUAGACACCUGUUAAAAAAAAAGAAAAAGAAAAAGGGGGUAUCAACUUGGACCUUGUCUUAUAUGGUGUACUAAUAAGCAAGAUGAUAUUUAAUUCUUUUAACCACAGAGAUAAGUCCAACUGCAAAAUUUUCUCUAUGGGUGAGCUUAUCAAUUUGUUUGAAAGGGGUUAUGUAGAGUAUGCAUGUCUUGUUAUGUCUUAUGUGAACAUGUGUUUUUGCAUCCGAUAGAGAAUUGAGAACUGUGAAGUGAGAUGGUUAAAUUCUUUUGGAAUUGCAAUGCUUUCUAUUACCUUCAUGAUGAUAGGUUGGUACCUUUGUGUUUGACACUAAGUGAUGUUAGAAUAUGACUUGAUGAAGUUGUUUAAUUAACAAGAACUAGUGUAAAAUUAUGGUUGAAUUUAGUUUCUUGACUCUAUGCUGAGGAAAAUGUUGAAAGGAAAGGUUAAGUCUUGAAUAACGAUCUAAUGAUGAACUUAAGGUUAGGCCUUGAAAGGAACGCUUGGAUAUGUAGAACAUGAUGGGGUUAUUCUGGUGUAAGGAUUUUGAGUUACAAAGAAAAGGAAAAGAGGAAUCCAUGUGGGUAACGAAUGAUGAGAUAGAGGGAAGUAUUUGGACUUGUUUUUCUUGUGAUCGAUGUAGGUCUCUUGGAUCUAGAUUUUGUGGUUGUUGACUUGUUGAACAUUCUCGGAUGUUGUGCUACAUGUGGUGACGGUGGUGUUGUGCGUUUCAGGUGUUACAUGACAUGGUCGACUUGGUUUAUCCUAAUUUCGAGGACGAAAUUUCUUUAAGAGGGGUAGGAUGUAGAGACCCGUAUUAAAAAUCUUUUUAUUUUUAAUGUUGGGGAUAUUGAAGGACCCUUUUUAAAAGAAUUGAUUAUUAUGGUGGAUAAUGAAUUGGGGAUUGAUGUGCAAGAAGUUGAAAAUUCGGUGCAAUUGUGAAAUAUGUGUGUAUGGCAUGUGAUAGAUGUAUGUGUGGGUGUAGGAGAUAAUUUUCUCCUCAAUUAUAAUUCUCUCUUUUCUCUCACAGUAAACACAACACACACCCACGCCACUCUCUCAUCUCUCCCACGGCUUCUCUCUCUGUCUCUCUCUUCAAAUUUCUUCCCCAAAUCUCAAAUUAACCAAGGGAUCUUGGAGUAUUCUUCUCCUAGAGUCGAGUUCUAGCCGUUGAUCGCGUUGGAAAGCUCGGAGGAGGUGUUUUCGGGAGAGGUUUUGCCUGGAGAUUCUUGGGGUUUUAAUUUCAACCUUCGAGGUACUCGCCAUGGCACUUAGCUUGGAUUGCAUGGAGUGCACAUGGAGACGUCUCUUGGGAGCUUCGUUGGAAUUAUUAAGGAGUUGUUUAUCAACUAGUCUAAUUCACGUUGUGUACUUCACCUGCAAUUGAAUGUAGUAUCUUUUGGUUUGAGCAUAUGUAAAGCUAUGUAUAAACUCAUCUCUUUGAUUAUUGUGAAGCCCUUUUUAAUUGAA
Molecule: long non-coding RNA, 2689 nt
Organism: Rhododendron vialii
Lineage: Eukaryota; Viridiplantae; Streptophyta; Magnoliopsida; Ericales; Ericaceae
Exons: 3
Source: RefSeq, a predicted model, not a curated record